GUUGCUUCUUCACUUGCUGAGUGUGUUGGAAAGUUUUCAAGCAUUCACAUAUUUAAAGUUGAAAACUAUAGGAGCUCUUUUUUUAAGAGAAUGAAACGUAUAUGGAACGACAGCAGAUUUUUUAUGGGAAAAAACAAAGUAAUGGCUCGCGCUUUAGGUCGUAAUAUUGAAGAAGAACUGGAAGAAAACCUUCAUAAAGUGUCAGGAUCUUUACACGGAGAAGUUGGUUUGCUUUUUACUAAUAGGACUUUGGAAGAAGUCAAAGAAUUUUUUGAAAAAAAUACUUUCCCGGAUUACCCUAGGAGCGGAAACAUAGCCACUGAAGACUUCAUGUUAAGUGAAGGCCCACUUGAACAACUUCCGGCUAGUAUGGAAUUUCAACUUCGUAAAUUAGGACUUCCUGCUUGCUUAAAAGCUGGAAAAUUAUUUUUAGAAAAAGAUUUUCAAGUUUGCUCAAAAGGAGAU
This is a long non-coding RNA of Zophobas morio, 465 nucleotides long. RefSeq lists it as uncharacterized. The record is from RefSeq and is a predicted model, not a curated record. The transcript has 3 exons. NCBI's taxonomy places the organism in Eukaryota, Metazoa, Arthropoda, Insecta, Coleoptera, Tenebrionidae.